UCUGGUUGAUCCUGCCAGUAGUCAAUGCUUGUCUCAAAGAUUAAGCCAUGCAUGUCUAAGUAUAAGCAAUUUAACAGUGAAACUGCGAAAUGCUCAUUAAACAGUUAUCGUUUAUUUGAUAGUUCCUUACUACAUGGAUAACUGUGGUAAUUCUAGAGCUAAUACAUGCUUAAAACCCGACCUUUGGAAGGAAUGUAUUAUUAAUAAAAAUCAAUGUCUUCGGACUCUUUGAUGAUUCAUAAUAACUUUCGAAUCGCAUGGCCUUGUGCCGGCGAUGGUUCAUUCAAAUUUCUGCCCUAUCAACUUCGAUGGUAGGAUAGUGGCCUACCAUGUUCAACGGUAACGGGGAAUAAGGGUUCGAUUCCGGAGAGGGAGCUGAGAAACGGCUACCACAUCCAAGAAGGCAGCAGGCGCGCAAAUUACCCAAUCCUAUACAGGGAGUAGUGACAAUAAAUAACGAUACAGGCCCUUCGGGUCUUGUAAUGGAGACAAGUAAAUACCUUAACGAGGAACAAUUGGAGGCAAGUCUGGUGCCAGCAGCCGCGGUAAUUCCAGCUCCAAUAGCGUAUAUUAAAGUUGUUGCAGUUAAAAGCUCGUAGUUGAACUUUGGGCUGGUUGGCCGUCUGGCUUUUGCCACGUACUGGAAUGCAACCGGCCUUUCUCUGCUAACCUAGCUCUUGGGUCUUUGGCGAACCAGGACUUUACUUGAAAAAAUUAGAGUGUCAAAGCAGCGUAUUGCUCGAAUAUAUAGCAUGGAAUAAUGGAAUAGGACGUUUGGUUCUAUUUGUGGUUCUAGACCAUCGUAAGAUUAAUAGGACGGUCGGGGCAUCAGUAUCAAUGUCAGAGGUAAAUUCUUGGAUUAUUGAAGACUAACUACUGCGAAAGCAUUUGCCAAGACGUUUCAUUAAUCAAGAACGAAGUUAGGGGAUCGAAGAUGAUCAAUACGUCGUAGUCUAACCAUAAACUAUGCCGACUAGGGAUCGGUGGUGUUUUUAAUGACCCACUCGGCACUUACGAAAAUCAAGUCUUUGGUUCUGGGGAUAUGGUCGCAAGGCUGAAACUUAAAGAUUGACGGAAGGCACCACCAGAUGGAGCUGCGGCUAAUUUGACUCAACACGGGAAACUCACCAGUCCAACAAUAAGAUUGACAGAUUGAGAGCUCUUCUUGAUUUGUGGUGGUGUGCAUGGCGUUCUUAGUGUGGAGUGAUUUGUCUGCUAAUUGCGAUAACGAACGAACCUUAACCUACAAAUAGUGUGCUAGCAUUUGCUGUUCUUCCACUCUAGAGGACUAUCGAUUCAAGUCGAUGGAAGUUGAGGCAAUAACAGGUCGUGAUGCCCUUAGACGUUCUGGGCCGCACGCGCGCUACACUGACGGAGCCAGCGAGUCUAACCUAGCCGAGAGGUCCUGGUAAUCUUGUGAAACUCCGUCGUGCUGGGAUAGAGCUUUGUAAUUUUUGCUCUUCAACGAGGAAUUCCUAGUAAGCGCAAGUCAUCAGCUUGCGUUGAUUACGUCCCUGCCCUUUGUACACACCGCCGUCGCUAGUACCGAUGAAUGGCUUAGUGAGGCCUCAGAUCUGCUUAGAGAAGGGGCAACUCCAUCUCAGAGCGGAAAAUCUGGUCAAACUGGUCAUUUAGAGGAACUAAAAGUCGUAACAAGUUUCCGUAGGUGAACCUGCGGAAG
Molecule: ribosomal RNA, 1681 nt
Filed under: Monosporozyma servazzii
Lineage: Eukaryota; Fungi; Ascomycota; Saccharomycetes; Saccharomycetales; Saccharomycetaceae
Description: SSU rRNA
Rfam family: Eukaryotic small subunit ribosomal RNA
Source: RNAcentral